UGGGGAAUUUUGGACAAUGGGCGCAAGCCUGAUCCAGCAAUGCCGCGUGCAGGAUGAAGGCCUUCGGGUUGUAAACUGCUUUUGUACGGAGCGAAAAGGUCUGCCCUAAUACGGUGGGCUCAUGACGGUACCGUAAGAAUAAGCACCGGCUAACUACGUGCCAGCAGCCGCGGUAAUACGUAGGGUGCGAGCGUUAAUCGGAAUUACUGGGCGUAAAGCGUGCGCAGGCGGUUAUAUAAGACAGGUGUGAAAUCCCCGGGCUCAACCUGGGACCUGCAUUUGUGACUGUAUAGCUAGAGUACGGUAGAGGAGGAUGGAAUUCCGCGUGUAGCAGUGAAAUGCGUAGAUAUGCGGAGGAACACCGAUGGCGAAGGCAAUCCCCUGGACCUGUACUGACGCUCAUGCACGAAAGCGUGGGGAGCAAACA
This 427-nucleotide ribosomal RNA is filed under the name uncultured bacterium. Its description in RNAcentral is "bacterial SSU rRNA". It matches the Rfam family "Bacterial small subunit ribosomal RNA", at positions 355 to 774 of the family's 1533-position model. The record is from RNAcentral.